This 366-nucleotide transfer-messenger RNA is filed under the name Sedimenticolaceae. Its description in RNAcentral is "Sedimenticola_A endophacoides Standard tmRNA". It matches the Rfam family "transfer-messenger RNA". Rfam says of the family: Bacterial tmRNA, also known as 10Sa RNA or SsrA, is named for its dual tRNA and mRNA-like properties. Its role is to liberate the mRNA from a stalled ribosome. Lineage: Bacteria; Pseudomonadati; Pseudomonadota; Gammaproteobacteria; Chromatiales. The record is from RNAcentral.
GGGGGCGACCUGGCUUCGACGUGGGUAGCGAAACCCGAGGUGCAUGCCGAGGAUACAGAUUCCCUCGUAAAUCCAUCUGUACCAAGAUAGUUGCCAACGACGACAACUACGCACUCGCAGCUUAAUAACCUGUAGAGGCCAUCCGACUGGAGCCGUGCUUGUGCGUCCAGACUCCGGGUGUCAUAUCUCACAAGAUCGCGUUGAAGCUCGUCCGGGGCCGAUCCGCUAAACACAAACCGGAAUCGCUGCGCUGAGUGCCCUGUCGGUCGGGUGUCAGGCAGUUAAACUUUAAUAGACUCGACUAAGCAUGUAGAGCCGAAGGCGGAGUGCUUGCGGACGCGGGUUCGAUUCCCGCCGCCUCCACCA